CUGGAAAUGAAUCUCCAGGGCUUCACGCAUCAGCUCCUCACACAAGACAUCUGGAAUUCCUGACAGCAGGACAGUCUGAGCACAGGCAGAAGGGCGGAACUGGGAUGGAGAGAAAAAGAUCGCAGACUUCUCCGCUUACACGGUGUGAAACCUUGAUUGUGUAGGUCUCCUUUCCAAUGGGCACCUGGAACUGACCUCUUCGGACAAGAUGCUCAGCCACUGGUGAAAAAAUUGGGUUGAGGAAAAGAACCAUGUCUCAAAUCUAUCUGUCAGAGCUUGGGCAACUUCUUUUUCUAAAGAUUAUUGUAAAUUGUCCAAAACCUUUUAAACUUUUACAGCCUCUC
Molecule: long non-coding RNA, 344 nt
Organism: Sceloporus undulatus (fence lizard)
Lineage: Eukaryota; Metazoa; Chordata; Lepidosauria; Squamata; Phrynosomatidae
Exons: 2
Source: RefSeq, a predicted model, not a curated record